RNAcentral lists this ribosomal RNA (432 nucleotides) under uncultured beta proteobacterium. Its description in RNAcentral is "bacterial SSU rRNA". It matches the Rfam family "Bacterial small subunit ribosomal RNA", at positions 930 to 1497 of the family's 1533-position model. Lineage: Bacteria; Pseudomonadati; Pseudomonadota; Betaproteobacteria. The record is from RNAcentral.
CGGUGGAUUAUGUGGUUUAAUUCGAUGCAACGCGAAAAACCUUACCUACCCUUGACAUGCUAGGAAGCUCGCAGAGAUGGGUUCCCGGCCUAAACAGGUGUGACGAGCGCAACCCUUGUCAUUAGUUGCUACGGGAUGUCAAGUCUCAUGGCCCUUAUGGGUAGGCUUCAUACAUGGCCGGUACAAGGGUUGCCAACCCGCGAGGGGGAGCCUCCCAGAAAGCCGGUCGUAGUCCGGAUUGUUCUGCAACUCGAGAGCAUGAAGUUGGAAUCGCUAGUAAUCGGGAUCAGCAUGUCGCGGUGAAUACGUUCCCGGGUCUUGUACACACCGCCGUCACACCAUGGGAGUGGGUUUCACCAGAAGUAGUUAGUCUAACCGCAAGGGGGACGAUUACCACGUGAGAUUCAUGACUGGGGUGAAGUCGUACAAGGU